UUCUCAGUGCUCAUGGUGAUCAGUAGUGUAGUGACGGCCUCUCCAUAUCUGCUGGUGACCAUCAUUCUGCUGAUCAAAUGUUACAGAGCUCGAGCUCAAACUGAUGGAGAGAGAACCGUGAGUGCAGUCAUAGAGGACUGAGCAGAGUCACUGUAUAAAGAGAGAAUGCAAUGAUGUUUUUUUAUUUUAUUUUUUUUAAUUAUUGGAUGGAUUGUAUGAUAAGGUUUUUUUUUUUUUUUUGCUGUGAUGUUUUGCUUUCAACGCAAUCUUUGUAAGGUACAAUAGAAAAUGAGAAAAAUACUUAUGUAAAUAGGUUUUCAUUGUCAACAGCAGCCUCAUAGUGUAUAUUUUAUAUAUUAAUUGACCUUAACUGAAGCUGUACAAGGAGAUUUGUGGAUUUAGUAAUGUUCAGAGAUGUUACUUGUAAAAAGCAGGACAGUAAAACGCAAUGUUUCCUUACACCUUUAUGUAAAUGUAACACAGCAGCGUGUAUCAUUUAAUAGUAGAGGCAGUUCAGUGGGAUGUGUCAUUGUUUCUUAACAAGCUGAGAUAUAUUAUCUGUGAAUUAUAUGAGACAAAUAUAAGCUUCUUAUUAUUAUUAUUGAUAUUCUGGCUCUUUAUGCUUAAAGAAGGUACACAAGUGAGAGUGUAAACAAUGUUGAUUACAAAUCUGCUGAAUCCCCAGUCAACCAUCAAGUGUCACUGAAACGAGUCUUCAUCAGACUGCUAAAUUAGAUUGGCCUGACUAUAAAUCAACAUUAAAAUAUCCUUAACUGAAAUGCAUAUCAAAUUAAUAACUGUUGAAAUCAUUAACAAACCAUUUGUUUCCCACUGCCACAUGAGGUUUUGUUCCUGUUGUGUUCAGUGUAUUUCCAUCCUUAAUUCCAAUUGCAUUGUGGAGAGACCUUUAGGAUUGUUAUACUAUCGAAAAUGACCUUGAGUAGUCAUGUUGUAAAUUAGAUCCUGAGAGUUUUUACAGAGUCCUUUUUACAGUACCAAAGGAAUCCAUGGUACUUCUGGUCAUCAUCAGGAACACCACAUUCCCCAUCCUUAUGUAAACCACAUCAAGACACAUAUCAUGUUGUUAUUAGUUUUCUGUCAUUAAAAGGUUGUUGACGGAGAUGUCUUGGUAUUGUGCACUAAAUUGUAGGACGGUCCAGAUUGGGCUUGGCUUAUUUGGAAGGUAGAUUAAGAUUUUGAAUGUUAUGAGUAUUCCUGGGUAAAUUUGAGUGCAAAUUCUUCUUUUGCACAGCUAUUGUCAAAUAUAUUUUGCAUGUAUUUAAAUAACUGUUCCUUUACCUAUGCAUUGUGAUCUGUACAUUGUGAUGUAAGUAAUUUAAGUAGAUUUUCCUUGUUAUGUGUUAAACAAGGUCUGGGAACUUUAAAUAUUAAGGGUGAUACUCAGCUAUUGACUUUAUUCUUGCAGACCUCUCGAUCCAUGAGUCUGAUAAAAGCCAGGUCUUUUCUCGAAGCUGCAAUUCUGCUGUCAUUUCAGGUUCUUAUAUGACUAUCCAUGUUAAAUCCUCUUAACCUCACUUGUGUUUAAAUGUAAUUGAAUAUUCAUGAAAGGUUAAACAAGUUUUGAAGAUUUGCACAAAAUGGGUGGAGAAAUUUUUUGAAGGUAAAAAAAAUGGAAAAUGGGAUAUAAAAUAAAAAAACAGAAAAGUGAAAAAAAUGUGGAGACGGAAAAUAAAUCACGACAUGAAAGUAACAAUAAUAAUACUGAUAAUAACAACAAGAACGAUUAUACUUGUUAAUAUUUUUAUUGUUAAUGUUAUUGUCAUUGUUAUUAUGUUUUAUUAUUGUUAUUAUUAUUGCAAGCAGUUUUUUAGGUGCAUUACUGCCAACUGCUGGAAAGAAGUGAUAAAGCUUGAGGGUCUCAAUCGGUUUAAAUUUUUUUCUUUCCUGUUGCUGUUGACGUGAGUGGUGGUGGCAUCAUUUUAUAGUAACCAGUUGUCCACUGGAUGGUAGGUGACCAGUGUUCUCCAGCCUUGCUGAUUUACUUCACUCCAAAUGUUUUGUAAAUUGUAAGGGAUUCACAAAAUGAGUGGAUACUAUAUACAGUUUAUUUAUGCCAGUGUGAUUAUUAAAAUGUUAAAUAAAAUAAAUACAUAGAUACAAAUGAAGGAGUAUAAUCUGGUUAGUUGGCAAAUGUUCAUUAAAAUAAAAAAAGUGACUUCCCUCCAA
Clarias gariepinus (North African catfish) is the source of this 2187-nucleotide long non-coding RNA. RefSeq lists it as uncharacterized. The transcript is spliced from 2 exons. NCBI's taxonomy places the organism in Eukaryota, Metazoa, Chordata, Actinopteri, Siluriformes, Clariidae. The record is from RefSeq and is a predicted model, not a curated record.